Molecule: ribosomal RNA, 440 nt
Filed under: uncultured bacterium
Lineage: Bacteria
Description: partial 16S ribosomal RNA
Rfam family: Bacterial small subunit ribosomal RNA
Source: RNAcentral
CCUACGGGAGGCAGCAGUGGGGAAUAUUGGACAAUGGGGGAAACCCUGAUCCAGCGACGCCGCGUGAGUGAAGAAGUAUUUCGGUACGUAAAGCUCUAUCAGCAGGAAAGAAAAUGACGGUACCUGACUAAGAAGCCCCGGCCAACUACGUGCCAGCAGCCGCGGUAAUACGUAGGGGGCAAGCGUUAUCCGGAUUUGCUGGGUGUAAAGGGAGCGUAGACGGCAGCGCAAGUCUGGAGUGAAAUGCCGGGGCUCAACCCCGGAACUGCUCUGGCAACUGUGAAGCUGGAGUGCAGGAGAGGUGAGCGGAAUUCCUGGUGUAGCGGUGAAAGGCGUAGAUAUCAAGAGGAACACCGGCGGCGAAGGCGGCUUACUGGACUGUAACUGACGUUGAGGCUCGAAGGCGUGGGGAGCAAACAGGAUUAGAUACCCCUGUAGUC